UACGGGAGGCAGCAGUAAGGAAUAUUGCGCAAUGGGCGAAAGCCUGACGCAGCGACGCCGCGUGGGGGAUGAAGGUCUUCGGAUUGUAAACCCCUUUCGGGAGGGAAGAUGGAGCGAGCAAUCGUUCGGACGGUACCUCCAGAAGCAGCCACGGCCAACUUCGUGCCAGCAGCCGCGGUAAUACGAAGGUGGCAAGCGUUGUUCGGAUUCACUGGGCGUACAGGGUGUGUAGGCGGUUUGGUAAGCCUUCUGUUAAAGCUUCGGGCCCAACCCGGAAAGCGCAGAGGGUACUGCCAGGCUAGAGGGUGGGAGAGGAGCGCGGAAUUCCCGGUGUAGCGGUGAAAUGCGUAGAGAUCGGGAGGAAGGCCGGUGGCGAAGGCGGCGCUCUGGAACAUACCUGACGCUGAGACACGAAAGCGUGGGGAGCAAACAGGAUUAGAUACCCUGGUAGUCCACGCCCUAAACUAUGGAUACUAAGUGUCGGCGGGUUACCGCCGGUGCCGCAGCUAACGCAUUAAGUAUCCCGCCUGA
Molecule: ribosomal RNA, 531 nt
Filed under: uncultured Nitrospirota bacterium
Lineage: Bacteria; Pseudomonadati; Nitrospirota
Description: bacterial SSU rRNA
Rfam family: Bacterial small subunit ribosomal RNA
Source: RNAcentral